UACGUAGGGUGCAAGCGUUGUCCGGAAUUAUUGGGCGUAAAGAGCUCGUAGGCGGUUUGUCGCGUCUGCUGUGAAAACCCGGGGCUCAACCCCGGGCCUGCAGUCGAUACGGGCAGACUAGAGUGCGGUAGGGGAGACUGGAAUUCCUGGUGUAGCGGUGAAAUGCGCAGAUAUCAGGAGGAACACCGGUGGCGAAGGCGGGUCUCUGGGCCGUAACUGACGCUGAGGAGCGAAAGCGUGGGGAGCGGACAGG
Molecule: ribosomal RNA, 253 nt
Filed under: uncultured bacterium
Lineage: Bacteria
Description: partial 16S ribosomal RNA
Rfam family: Bacterial small subunit ribosomal RNA
Source: RNAcentral